UUAGGUGAUAAAUAAGCUUGAAACUCUCUAGUCAACACUGGAUUUCCUCUGAUAGCAGUGGCUCAACGUUUGAUCAACUCCUGAUUCCAACAAUUUCCAAUCACUUGUUGCGAAUCUAAAUCCACCUUAUCUCUUGAAAUAAAAUAUUGAUAAUAGAUCCUUAGUAACUUUUUAUCCAGUCUAAACUUCAUCAACACUCUCAGAGAGGGAAAGUUGUCUUAUAAUUGUGUAUUCCUUAACAAUAUUUCUUUACUUAGAUCAACAUUAUCAGCAGAUAUCAACUCAACAUCAAAGUCACCGCAGAAAUCUAGUUUGAAGUAAGCUCGAUAAUGUCCAAAUUAAUAUCCAAAUCAGCAAUUUUCAUCCUUAUCUCAAUGUUCGUAAUCCAAACGCUCUCUAUGCGUCUAUAUUUGCACAAAAGAAAAUUCGAAAGCAGCUGUGAUGGUAAAUUCGAUUUAUCCCAAUAUGCUCGUCUUGAUCGUGUCUGUGAGGAUUGCCUCGAGUUAUACAAAGAUUAUGGUUUACACGAAACAUGCAAAUCCAAUUGUUUCAAUAAUGUUAUCUUUACAAAAUGUGCGACGAGUGUCUUGCGGGAAAGCGAUGCCAACACAUUAAUACAAAAGGUGAAAGAAAUUUCGCCACCGAAAUCUAAAGAGAAUGUUUAGAAAUCUAAAGAAUCAAAAUGUUCUUGUUGAAUAAAUAUCAACAAUAUUUCAAUAUAUUAUUCAAUAUCCAGACUAUCUAAGGUCCGGUGAUAUCAAUUACAUUGUAAAUGUAAUUUUAAUUUUUUAGAUGAAAAUCUAGUUUGGAUAACAAAACAUGUCUGAUGAUUUUCAAAGGUAAUUUUGUUCAUUUUAUUCAAUAAUAUGUGAGUGUUUAAAAUUAAACACAAUGCAGAACGAAAAAUAAGAAUAAAGGAAAUGUAUUGGCAUUUUGGAAGUAUGACUUUAUAUUAUAAAGAAUCAAUAAGAAUAGUAAUAAUAAAAUCAGAUGAUGGGACUACUAA
Non-coding RNA from Tetranychus urticae (two-spotted spider mite), 1006 nucleotides. NCBI's taxonomy places the organism in Eukaryota, Metazoa, Arthropoda, Arachnida, Trombidiformes, Tetranychidae. The record is from RefSeq and is a predicted model, not a curated record.